GCUCUUGUAGCUCAGGGGUAGAGCACUUCCUUGGUAAGGAAGAGGUCGCGAGUUCAAUUCUCGCCAAGAGCUCCA
RNAcentral lists this transfer RNA (75 nucleotides) under Moraxella bovis. Its description in RNAcentral is "tRNA-Thr(ggt)". It matches the Rfam family "tRNA". From Rfam's summary of the family: Transfer RNA (tRNA) molecules are approximately 80 nucleotides in length. Their secondary structure includes four short double-helical elements and three loops (D, anti-codon, and T loops). Lineage: Bacteria; Pseudomonadati; Pseudomonadota; Gammaproteobacteria; Moraxellales; Moraxellaceae. The record is from RNAcentral. RNAcentral also lists the same sequence under 8 other names.